RNAcentral lists this ribosomal RNA (117 nucleotides) under Clostridioides difficile. RNAcentral also lists the same sequence under 1 other name. Lineage: Bacteria; Bacillati; Bacillota; Clostridia; Peptostreptococcales; Peptostreptococcaceae. The record is from RNAcentral.
UCUGGUUAUAAUAGCAGAGAGGAUACACCUGUUCCCAUUCCGAACACAGAAGUUAAGCUCUCUAGCGCUGAUGGUACUUGGUGGGAAGCUGCCUGGGAGAGUAGGACAUAGCCAGGU